UACGGAGGAUCCGAGCGUUAUCCGGAUUUAUUGGGUUUAAAGGGUGCGCAGGCGGAAGAUUAAGUCGGUGGUGAAAUUUUGCAGCUCAACUGUAAAAGUGCCAUUGAUACUGGUUUUCUUGAGUGUGGAUGAAGUAGGCGGAAUUUGUAGUGUAGCGGUGAAAUGCAUAGAUAUUACAAGGAACUCCGAUUGCGAAGGCAGCUUACUAAAUUACAACUGACGCUUAGGCACGAAGGCGUGGGUAUCAAACAGGAUUAGAUACCCCGGUAGUCCCU
Molecule: ribosomal RNA, 275 nt
Filed under: uncultured prokaryote
Description: partial 16S ribosomal RNA
Rfam family: Bacterial small subunit ribosomal RNA
Source: RNAcentral